CAAGGCAGGUGGAUCACAAGGUCAGGAGAUCAAGACCAUCCUCCUGGCUAACAAGGUGAAACCCUGUCUCUACUAAAAAAAAUACAAAAAAUUAGCCGGGCGUGGUGGCAUGUACCUGUAGUCCCAGCUACUCAGGAGGCUGAGGCAGGAAAAUCGCUUGAACCCAGGAAGUGGAGGUUGCAGUGAGCCAAGAUCAUACCACUGCACUCCAGCCUGGGCGACAGAGGGAGACUCCGUCUCAAAAAGAAAAAAAGCAAUAAAUGCUCUUCCAGAAAACUCAAAAAUGAAGAUAAGCUAAAAGAAAAUGGAAAGCACCAGAAUACCAGAAUCUUUCCACUCACUGAUGAUCAGAGUUAAUACCUCAGUGUCUUCUGUGGCUUCAGCGUCACCUAGUGCAGGCUGCCAUUCAACAAACGCAUUGUCAACAGUCAACCAAAAGAAACCCAUUGGCCACCAUACCCUGAGGACUAACCCUGACACAGAUGCCCUUCCAGAUGCCCUCAAUAGUCUAACUGAUUCCAUCGCCCCAGCCUUGGGGGAGAAGCACUGCUGCCUAUGCACUCCAUUUACAGAAAAACGUUGACCUCUUGGCGAGAAUGCAAAGAAGGGAACGCUUGCUUAUACGCUGUUGGUGAACUGUCACCCCUACAACUCAGCUUGCAACCAGCCCUGGCCACCAGUUUCCCCACACUGAGCUGAAUAUCGGACAUGCCCAUCUCAGACAUUCCAGCCCAUUCUGAAAUUCCACAUCGAUUCACCUGACAAAGUCUGAAGUUCCAGGGCAAUUUAUCUGGAAAAGCUUACCUGGAAUCACGUGUCAUUUCAACCAACAACUGUUGAAGAGGACGUGGCAUUAAAACCAAGGGUAUCAAUUAUUUAUAAGGGCUGUGUGCUGGUUGGUCCAAGCAUCUCUCCUUCACGCCAUCACUCCUUUCAAGAGCUGCCUCUGUUUUCUAAUUUAGCACAGGAAUUUAGAUGCCCCUAAAUAAGUAGGCAUCCAGUAUCUGCCCACACCAGUUUUAGUGAGAGUACAUAUGGAGACACUACCACCACCCCUGCUCUCCUACUGCAUACCCCACCAUGCCAAAGCAUGGUGGCUCACACCUGUAAUCCCAGUGCUUUGGGAGGCCAAAGAGGAGGAACACUUGAGAUCAGAGGUCUGAGACGAGCCUGGGCAACAUAGUGAAACCUCAUUUCUACAAAUAAGUUAAAAUAUAUAUAUGUAGGGCAUAGUGGCACACACCUGUGGUUUCAGCUUUUCAGCAAGCUGAGGCCGGAAGAUCACUUGAGCCCAGGAGUUUGAGGAUGCAGUGAGCUAGGAUUAUGCCACUGCACUGUAGCCUGGGCAGCGGAGAGACCCCAUCUCUAAAAAGAGGAGAAGGAGGGAAAAUACUUCUCCUUCUCAGACCCAAAGUAAAAAGGUUUCUGGUCUCACACUGACCAGAAAAACAUUGAUAUUUACUUAAGCAAUAUUAAAAGGGUCACUGCUUUAGAACAGGAUUAAAGAGAAAGUAAAAUCAACAUUGAGAUAGGAGGACAGAGGCCAUCAACUGAGUUCUGAUCCCAAUGAAGACGAGAAAAGGCUACAACUAUCUAGGUUAAAUAUCUACUUGUCCUAGAAAAAGCCUUUUGGCAGCAACAUAAAAUUCAUACCUCUUAGUUUUUAAAUUCCUAUGGAUGCUGAAGCAAAUAACCACAAUUUGGGUGGCUGAAAGUAACAGAAGUUUAUUCUUUCCAGUAUUGGAAACCAGGAAUCUGAGAUCAAGUUGUGGGCAGGGCUGGACUCCCCCUGGAGGCUCUAGGGGGUGUUCCUUCCUGCCUCUUCCAGUUCUUGGUGGCUCCAGG
This 1845-nucleotide long non-coding RNA is filed under the name Homo sapiens (human). Its description in RNAcentral is "PREDICTED lncRNA (TCONS_00273387)". Lineage: Eukaryota; Metazoa; Chordata; Mammalia; Primates; Hominidae. The record is from RNAcentral.